Alligator sinensis (Chinese alligator) is the source of this 292-nucleotide long non-coding RNA. RefSeq lists it as uncharacterized. The record is from RefSeq and is a predicted model, not a curated record. NCBI's taxonomy places the organism in Eukaryota, Metazoa, Chordata, Crocodylia, Alligatoridae. The transcript has 3 exons.
UGUUGCACUGAAAUAAUGAGAGGCUAUUAAUAUCACUGGGUUGGACGUGGAGGAACAUGUAGGUCUGGAAUUCUCCCUUUCUGUGUUCAAAUUGGAUUAUGGCAUCUAGAUCAUGGCUGAUGUUUUAAGCUUGAAAGAGAAAAGCCUCCACAGUCAUCCAGUUUCUUCUGUAGGAUAUGCUAAUCCUCCACCUCUACUGAAAAAAAUGCCUCCAAACUUUUGUGUCACCAGCAAAUGACAUUAGCACACUCCUCCUUGUUGUUCCAAGAAAAAUCUCCAUCUUUCCCCCCAC